RNAcentral lists this long non-coding RNA (271 nucleotides) under Pan troglodytes (chimpanzee). RNAcentral describes it as "long non-coding RNA NONPTRT013478". Lineage: Eukaryota; Metazoa; Chordata; Mammalia; Primates; Hominidae. The record is from RNAcentral.
ACUUAUUGUUGAGGAAGCCUCUUGCUGUUUGAAGGAGAGGCUGCUCUGGUAUUUCACAGCACACUGAGCUGCUCACAGAGGUUUGGUGGAUGAAGUUUGUCUUGCUGUGUUCUUGGGCCAAUAGAAAGGCAGCUGCUGGCAGUCAAGUUAUGUGAAAGAAAUAAAGAAGUGUGUCUAUGUAAAAGGAGGCACAGAGGGACAUCUGUCCAGGAAGUGAAGACCAGAGUCAGGGGACCUUCAGAACCCGUCUUUCCUUCACAUGAAUUCAGGG